RNAcentral lists this transfer RNA (61 nucleotides) under Ictidomys tridecemlineatus (thirteen-lined ground squirrel). RNAcentral describes it as "Spermophilus tridecemlineatus (thirteen-lined ground squirrel) tRNA". It matches the Rfam family "tRNA", at positions 6 to 65 of the family's 71-position model. From Rfam's summary of the family: Transfer RNA (tRNA) molecules are approximately 80 nucleotides in length. The record is from Rfam by way of RNAcentral. Lineage: Eukaryota; Metazoa; Chordata; Mammalia; Rodentia; Sciuridae.
UGUAGCUCAGUGGUAGAGCGCUUGCCUAGUAUGUAUGAGACACUGGGUUCGAUUCUCAGCA